GAUGAACGCUGGCGGCGUGCCUAAUACAUGCAAGUCGAGCGAACGAACGAGAAGCUUGCUUCUCUGAUGUUAGCGGCGGACGGGUGAGUAACACGUGGAUAACCUACCUAUAAGACUGGGAUAACUUCGGGAAACCGGAGCUAAUACCGGAUAAUAUUUUGAACCGCAUGGUUCAAAAGUGAAUGACGGUCUUGCUGUCACUUAUAGAUGGAUCCGCGCUGCAUUAGCUAGUUGGUAAGGUAACGGCUUACCAAGGCAACGAUGCAUAGCCGACCUGAGAGGGUGAUCGGCCACACUGGACCUGAGACACGUUCCAGACUCCUACGGGGGGCAGCAGUAGGGAAUCUUCCGCAAUGGGCGAAAGCCUGACGGAGCACCGCCGCGUGAGUGAUGAAGGUCUUCGGAUCGUAAAACUCUGUUAUUAGGGAAGAACAUAUGUGUAAGUAACUGUGCACAUCUGGACGGUACCUAAUCAGAAAGCCACGGCUAACUACGU
This 496-nucleotide ribosomal RNA is filed under the name uncultured bacterium. RNAcentral's name for it is "partial 16S ribosomal RNA". It matches the Rfam family "Bacterial small subunit ribosomal RNA", at positions 28 to 506 of the family's 1533-position model. The record is from RNAcentral.